This 1522-nucleotide ribosomal RNA is filed under the name metagenome. RNAcentral describes it as "bacterial LSU rRNA". It matches the Rfam family "Bacterial large subunit ribosomal RNA", at positions 1327 to 2925 of the family's 2925-position model. The record is from RNAcentral.
AUCAUAAUGGCCGAAAAUCUAAGGUUUCCUGAGGAAGGUUCGUCCGCUCAGGGUAAGCCGGGGGCUAAGGCGAGGCGGAGACGCGUAGCCGAUGCACAUACGGUUGAAAUUCCGUAGCCACCGAAAGAUUUAAGUACAGGGACGCUUUAGAAGUGAUGUUGCCGGGCGAUGGUUGACCCGGUCGUAAGGGAUCGAAAAUGAGUAGAGAAGUCAUCAUGGAAAGAGACAAGAAAAGCUGUAUGAAUAUCUUAGGUGCCCGUACCGCAAACCGACACAGGUAGAUAGGAAGAAGAUUCUAAGGCCAACGGGAGAAGGGUUGUUAAGGAACUCGGCAAGUUGACCCCGUAACUUAGGGAUAAGGGGUGCUCAAGUGAUUGAGCCGCAGAGAAUAGGCCCAGGCGACUGUUUAGAAAAAACACAGGUCUCUGCUAAAUCGAAAGAUGACGUAUAGGGGCUGACACCUGCCCGGUGCCGGAGGGUUAAGAGGAGAUGUGAGAGCAUUGAAUUGAAGCCCCGGUAAACGGCGGCCGUAACAAUAACGGUCCUAAGGUAGCGAAAUUCCUUGUCAGGUAAGUUCUGACCCGCACGAAAGGUGUAACGAUCUGGGCACUGUCUCAACAACCCGCCCGGCGAAAUUGUAGUACCGGUGAAGAUGCCGGUUACCCGCGACUAGACGGAAAGACCCCAUGGAGCUUUACUGUAGCCUAAUAUUGGAUUUCGGUAUUUCACGUACAGGAUAGGUGGGAGACUGGGAAGCACAGGCGACAGCUUGUGUGGAGUCGACCUUGGGAUACCACUCUUGGAGUGCUGGAAUUCUAACCUGCGGCUUUGAAGCAAGUCGGGGGACAUUGUUAGGUGGGCAGUUUGACUGGGGCGGUCGCCUCCUAAAGAGUAACGGAGGCGCUCAAAGGUUCGCUCUGCAUGGAUGGAAACCAUGCGUCAGAGUGUAAACGCAAAAGCGAGCCUAACUGCGAGAAUGACGGUUCGAGCAGUAACGAAAGUUGGAGUUAGUGAUCCGGCGGUAUGUGAAUGGAAAUGCCGUCGCUCAACGGAUAAAAGCUACCCUGGGGAUAACAGGCUGAUCUCCCCCAAGAGUCCACAUCGACGGGGAGGUUUGGCACCUCGAUGUCGGCUCAUCGCAUCCUGGGGCUGAAUUCGGUCCCAAGGGUUUGGCUGUUCGCCAAUUAAAGCGGUACGCGAGCUGGGUUCAGAACGUCGUGAGACAGUUCGGUCCCUAUCUGUCGUGGGCGUAGGAUAUUUGCAAGGAGCUGUCCCUAGUACGAGAGGACCGGGAUGGACGCACCUCUGGUGCACCAGUUGUCACGCCAGUGGCACAGCUGGGCAGCUAUGUGCGGAACGGAUAAACGCUGAAGGCAUCUAAGCGUGAAGCCGCCCUUAAGAUAAGAUAUCCCUUCUGUCUACAGAGUAAGACCCCUUGAAGACUACAAGGUUGAUAGGCUCAAAGUGUAAGCACGGUGACGUGUUUAGCUAGCGAGUACUAAUCGGUCGAGGGCUUAACCUU